AGAUCAGAUUAUUGCCAGAACAUGUAUAAACUUUUAUGCAUAAUUUAAGAAAAACUGAGACUUGGACUUACAGGUCUAAUACAAUGUUUAUCCCCUUUUCAUUUGCCUAGUUUAUAUGAAUCCUUUCUUUUUUCUCCCAAUAGGCAGUUAAUAAGCUGAAACAGAUGCUCAAGUUCUUACUUUCAUUUCUUACGUUGAUAGUUGUGGCCUGGCAGUUUCAUAAUCUUGGAAAAGUUCUGGAUUUAUGAGUAAAAAUGAAUUCAACGACAUUAACAUUAAUUCUGUCAUAUCAAUCUGCUAUAUACUUGCAGGUCUUUAAUAAAAGUCUCAGUUGCCAACUUCUUUAUCCAAGACAGCAAAUAGAUGUCAUAUUUCCAUUCAUAAGUGGAUGAAGAUGUCUUCAUUUUAGCAGUAACAUGGACUGUCUAGCACAUUACUCCUCACCCAUUAUAAUUGCGACAGCUAUAGUCCCCCCACCAAAAUUAAAAAGAAAACGAUAAAGAAAUAGCAUAUAUUCUAAGGGUCACUUUCAUCAGCGGCCGCAAAUGUCUAUUCCUAUCAAAAUUGUAAAAUUGAGGUAACCAUAUUAACAGAGAUUAAUGAUGGCUAAUUGAACAACAUUCUCAAGAAAAAACAAGAAGAAUCGAACGAUAAUGAAACAUUAAGUCCCAUUUUAAACCCAACCCAAAUUAUCAACUCUCAACCCUUGCAGCAAACAAUACAAAAUUCAAGACCAGCAGGAAUCGAAUAAAAGAAGAAACACAAAUAGCAAGAACCCAUUACAAAACAAAGAGAAAAAAAAAUCAAGAUGAUGGUAUACCUGCUACAGUGACAAGUGAAUUAUCGUCCUUGGCUUGGACCUGACUGUUGGCUUUAGAAAUCAUACUGUCCUGCACUUUCUGGCAAAGAGAACAUGCCAUCUGCACAGCUCUGACAGCAAUAUCCAUUUCUUUGGAGUAUUUUUCAGGUUGUGGAGAUGAAAGAUCCAAGCUUUUUAGGUCCUCCAUUAUUGAAGAAGUAAAACUU
Molecule: unclassified non-coding RNA, 1026 nt
Filed under: Hevea brasiliensis (rubber tree)
Lineage: Eukaryota; Viridiplantae; Streptophyta; Magnoliopsida; Malpighiales; Euphorbiaceae
Source: RNAcentral